RNAcentral lists this transfer RNA (74 nucleotides) under Candidatus Omnitrophota bacterium. RNAcentral describes it as "tRNA-Gln". It matches the Rfam family "tRNA". From Rfam's summary of the family: Transfer RNA (tRNA) molecules are approximately 80 nucleotides in length. Their secondary structure includes four short double-helical elements and three loops (D, anti-codon, and T loops). Further hydrogen bonds mediate the characteristic L-shaped molecular structure. tRNAs have two regions of fundamental functional importance: the anti-codon, which is responsible for specific mRNA codon recognition, and the 3' end, to which the tRNAs corresponding amino acid is attached (by aminoacyl-tRNA synthetases). tRNAs cope with the degeneracy of the genetic code in two manners: having more than one tRNA (with a specific anti-codon) for a particular amino acid; and 'wobble' base-pairing, i.e. permitting non-standard base-pairing at the 3rd anti-codon position. Lineage: Bacteria; Pseudomonadati; Candidatus Omnitrophota. The record is from RNAcentral. RNAcentral also lists the same sequence under 2 other names.
UGGCGGGUAGUGUAAUGGUAGCACCGCAGCUUUUGGAGCUGCUUGUCAAGGUUCGAAUCCUUGCCCGCCAGCCA